Molecule: transfer RNA, 90 nt
Filed under: Candidatus Kerfeldbacteria bacterium RIFCSPHIGHO2_12_FULL_48_17
Lineage: Bacteria; Candidatus Kerfeldiibacteriota
Description: tRNA-Ser
Rfam family: tRNA
About the family: Transfer RNA (tRNA) molecules are approximately 80 nucleotides in length. Their secondary structure includes four short double-helical elements and three loops (D, anti-codon, and T loops).
Source: RNAcentral
GGAAGGGUGGCAGAGUGGUCGAUUGCACCGGUCUUGAAAACCGGAGCGCCCGCAAGGGUGCCGGGGGUUCGAAUCCCUCCCCUUCCGCCA